CCGGCACGGGUGAGUAACACGUAUCCAACCUGCCGUCUACUCUUGGCCAGCUUUCUGAAGGAAGAUUAAUCCAGGAUGGCAUCAUGAGUUCACAUGUCCGCAUGAUUAAAGGUAUUUUCCGGUAGACGAUGGGGAUGCGUUCCAUUAGAUAGUAGGCGGGGUAACGGCCCACCUAGUCAACGAUGGAUAGGGGUUCUGAGAGGAAGGUCCCCCACAUUGGAACUGAGACACGGUCCAA
RNAcentral lists this ribosomal RNA (238 nucleotides) under uncultured bacterium. RNAcentral describes it as "partial 16S ribosomal RNA". It matches the Rfam family "Bacterial small subunit ribosomal RNA", at positions 100 to 334 of the family's 1533-position model. The record is from RNAcentral.